This 459-nucleotide ribosomal RNA is filed under the name Ursus arctos (brown bear). RNAcentral's name for it is "partial large subunit ribosomal RNA". It matches the Rfam family "Bacterial large subunit ribosomal RNA", at positions 1966 to 2597 of the family's 2925-position model. Lineage: Eukaryota; Metazoa; Chordata; Mammalia; Carnivora; Ursidae. The record is from RNAcentral.
CAUUUGUUCUCUAAAUAAGGACUUGUAUGAAAGGCCACACGAGGGUUUAACUGUCUCUUACUUCCAAUCAGUGAAAUUGACCUUCCCGUGAAGAGGCGGGAAUAAAAUAAUAAGACGAGAAGACCCUAUGGAGCUUCAAUUAAUUAGCUCAAAAGGAUUUAUUUACCAGACCGACAGGAACAACAUAUUCCUUCCAUGAGCUAGCAAUUUAGGUUGGGGCGACCUCGGAGUACAAAAUAACCUCCGAGUGAUAUUAAUCUAGACGUACCAGUCAAAAUGCUCACUUACUUAUUGAUCCAAAGCUUCUUUGAUCAACGGAACAAGUUACCCUAGGGAUAACAGCGCAAUCCUAUUUAAGAGUCCAUAUCGACAAUAGGGUUUACGACCUCGAUGUUGGAUCAGGACAUCCUAAUGGUGCAGCAGCUAUUAAGGGUUCGUUUGUUCAACGAUUAAAGUCCU